Molecule: unclassified non-coding RNA, 451 nt
Filed under: Hevea brasiliensis (rubber tree)
Lineage: Eukaryota; Viridiplantae; Streptophyta; Magnoliopsida; Malpighiales; Euphorbiaceae
Source: RNAcentral
GCUGACAAUCCUAAAGAAGAUGUUAAAAAAUGCACUGAACCCAAGAAAGAUGUGAAGAAAGAAAAUGGCCUUCACCACCAAAAGCAUCCACUCCACCAUGGCCAUAGGCGGCAUCACCACAAAUCGGCAAGGUCCCCUGCCAUUCACUCAGAAACUGCUCUACGCCAAAACCACAGAAAUGGGUUUGAUUCUCCCCUGCACCCAGAAGCCAAGGGAGCAUAGAAAUUAAAUGCCAAAACUGUAAUUAAGUUAAUGUAAAUACAAACUCUUUUCUUCUGUUAUCCUUGAAUUUGCAUAUUGUGACAACACAAGUUAGGCACAAGAAGAAGAAGUGUAAGGAUUAUUCUUGUGGAAGGACUAGUUUUACUUGGAUUUGUUCUUUCUUUCAAACAUUUUGACUUGUAUAAUCUCAUCUUGCCUGGGCAAUUUGGCAUGGAUGGGAGUUCAAUUU